UCCGGGAUCGUCUAAUGGUAGGACGCUCCGCUCUGGACGGAGUAAUCUACGUUCGAAUCGUAGUCCCGGAGCCA
Molecule: transfer RNA, 74 nt
Filed under: Candidatus Giovannonibacteria bacterium
Lineage: Bacteria; Candidatus Giovannoniibacteriota
Description: tRNA-Gln
Rfam family: tRNA
About the family: Transfer RNA (tRNA) molecules are approximately 80 nucleotides in length. Their secondary structure includes four short double-helical elements and three loops (D, anti-codon, and T loops). Further hydrogen bonds mediate the characteristic L-shaped molecular structure. tRNAs have two regions of fundamental functional importance: the anti-codon, which is responsible for specific mRNA codon recognition, and the 3' end, to which the tRNAs corresponding amino acid is attached (by aminoacyl-tRNA synthetases). tRNAs cope with the degeneracy of the genetic code in two manners: having more than one tRNA (with a specific anti-codon) for a particular amino acid; and 'wobble' base-pairing, i.e. permitting non-standard base-pairing at the 3rd anti-codon position.
Source: RNAcentral